RNAcentral lists this long non-coding RNA (448 nucleotides) under Sorghum bicolor (sorghum). Its description in RNAcentral is "long non-coding RNA (SBIC_LNC013530)". The record is from RNAcentral. Lineage: Eukaryota; Viridiplantae; Streptophyta; Magnoliopsida; Poales; Poaceae.
CCGACAUAUCCGAUGUGACAUAAAAAAAUUUUCGUCUCAUCUAAACAGGGCCACCUGCACAUUCGAAUUCGUUUCUUGGACCUGCCCUGCCCGCUGACCGACCGACCCCGGCCCACCUUCCAAGCCUGGUGACUGCCUUUUUAGAACAGUUAUAUAAUUUGUUUUCCUUUUUUUUUCUAACAAGAAAAUUGCGAGAAGUUAUUAUAUAAUUUGCUUUUUGGUACUGCUAUCUGAUGAGAGGAAGGGCGGCGUGGCGAGCUGGCAAAUGCAGGGUACGUUCGCGUGCUGCUCAUCGUAUCAUACGAGUACUAAGGCCCUCGUUUACUUCCACCUCAAGAUCUAAUUUUUUUGAAAAAAUUUUCGUCACAUCCAAUCCUUAGACGUAUGCAUAGAGUAUUGAGUAUAAAUAAAAAUAAAAACUAAUUCUAUAGUUUGGUCGAAAUUUACG